Podarcis raffonei (Aeolian wall lizard) is the source of this 659-nucleotide long non-coding RNA. RefSeq lists it as uncharacterized. The record is from RefSeq and is a predicted model, not a curated record. NCBI's taxonomy places the organism in Eukaryota, Metazoa, Chordata, Lepidosauria, Squamata, Lacertidae. The transcript is spliced from 2 exons.
AAGAACGUUGGGCGCUCACAAAACACACCGACGUCAGCGCGUAGUAACCACGGAAACGAGCCCCGCAACGUCAUCGCUCUUUCUCCCUUCCCCUUCAGAAAUCGUUAGCCACGCAGGCGGCGGCGUCACCCGCUGAGGGGAGGAGGAGGAGGAGGCUCCCGGUUGUCAUAGCAGCUCAGGGAGGUGGGGCUCCGUUGCCAAAGCAGCAGGGAAGCUGAGUUUCCCCAGUCACUCUGGGCGGCUCCCAAUCGAGUGUUAAAAACAAUACAGCGUGUGUCCGCCUCACAAUAUUCGGAGAUCUGGACCAGAGGUCGAUCCCGGCAAGCGUUCGUUGUGGGGACGGACAAGGGGGUGGAUCCUGUCGUGUCUGCCUCAAGCGGCGAAACGUGAGGAAGCGCACUCGCGCUGUCUGCCGCACACGCACCAAAAGGGAAACCCAAGUCUGACGCACCGAUCAACAACAACCCCCGCGGCUCUCGACUCAAGUCUUUUCUGCUCUUUCUUACGUAACGCAAGCCGUGAUCCCUGCAUCCCCCCCAAAAAAAAAACAAUUCAGCGUUGUCCUCGUGCCUUUAAUAAAAAGAUAAAGCAAAUCGUAUCUUAAAAAAAUAAGAGAGAAAUAAAGCCGGCUUGAGCAUGUGCCCCAACUGACAAAAUAA